AUGGCCUGUGCACCAGCAGAAGAAGAGAUUGAGAAGAAAUCUCACAAAGAAGUACAGACAACUCCGAUCUCCCAAGUCAGGUCGCUGCAGCUUGCUGUACUGCAGAACCGUCCAUUCAAAGAAACACUGACAUUAUUAGAUGUGGAUAAUCAACAAGAGGGGUCGAAGAGCCAAGCUCAGGUCAUGAAGAGAAAAUCCAACUUGAAAGCUUCUUGGAUGACAGAAAAGACAAGUGUUGAUUUAUCCUCAACGGGACAGGAGGUGAAACACGAAACCAAGACCAAGAUUGUUCAUUUUUACAGCUUUCAUAAAAACCCCAAUGCGAGAAACAACAGCGUCUCACCUCAGACUGGAAAUCAGGAGGACACAACAGGAAGACCCAAAGAAAAGGAUAUGCCAUCCCAGAUGGAGAAUGACACGUUGCAAGACGAUGAGACGUACAGAGCCAACCCGGUGUUCAUUUAUGAGGAUGACACUCUGUUGGCAACAGAGUUAAAGAUUACUGAGCCAGAGGACAGCCAGGGCAUGUCAGGACAUUUCAUAGACAAGAAACUCUCAUCUCCAGAAGAAGCUUUGAGCAGCUCCAUUUUCAUGAACAACCCAGUUUUUUCAGAAAAUACAGUAACAUCUGGGGAGGAAGUGGAUCAAAACAAUACUAAAGAGCGUCCCCGUCCAGAUGGCUCACAAGUAAGCAGCUUCAGAUGUGUGGAAGUUCAAGAACGUGACGCCACGGCUGACACUGAACGAUCCCCAAAUUUCAGUGAAUGGCAGAUUCCGAAAUCAAAAGACAACUUUAACAAAGUUAGAAAGAGUCCAAGUAAAACCUACCCCCCAAACAUUCUACCUCAAGAAUCCUUAUGUGCCAAGGAAUUUAGGCUGAGAGAGUCUCCAUUAAAAACCUUUCCAAUAGACAUCGUUCCCGAGGUGAAAGUUGCACAAGAGCCGCAGCAGAAGAUAAAGUCAGAGUCCAGACAGAUGGAGAGUUUCUCUCCUGUGAGAAAGCAGAGGGAGCUACCCAACACCAACACUGAUGAGGCUAUAAGUUUCUCCAGGUCAAAAAAAAUGAAGACCAGCUAUUCUCUUCCUCUUCAGCUGGAUCAGGUAAAUUAAGUUUUAAAUUAAGACUUAUACUCCGCAGCAACUUAUAUUAGAACUAAAUUGAAAUAAAUACAUUGUAAACCCUCCUGUUAUGUUCAUUUAUGAGGAACA
RNAcentral lists this long non-coding RNA (1209 nucleotides) under Oryzias sinensis (Chinese medaka). RNAcentral's name for it is "lncRNA (ENSOSIG00000003820.1)". The record is from RNAcentral. Lineage: Eukaryota; Metazoa; Chordata; Actinopteri; Beloniformes; Adrianichthyidae.